UACGUAGGCAGCGAGCGUUGUUCGGAGUUACUGGGCGUAAAGAGUGCGUAGGCGGUUUUCUAAGUUUGGUGUGAAAUCUCCCGGCUCAACUGGGAGGGUGCGCCGAAGACUGGAAGGCUUGAGUAUGGGAGAGGUAAGCGGAAUUCCUGGUGUAGCGGUGAAAUGCGUAGAUAUCAGGAGGAACACCAAUUGCGAAGGCAGCUCGCUGGGACGUUACUGACGCUGAGACGCGAAAGCGUGGGGAGCAAACAGG
Molecule: ribosomal RNA, 253 nt
Filed under: uncultured bacterium
Lineage: Bacteria
Description: partial 16S ribosomal RNA
Rfam family: Bacterial small subunit ribosomal RNA
Source: RNAcentral